RNAcentral lists this ribosomal RNA (442 nucleotides) under uncultured bacterium. Its description in RNAcentral is "bacterial SSU rRNA". It matches the Rfam family "Bacterial small subunit ribosomal RNA", at positions 340 to 774 of the family's 1533-position model. The record is from RNAcentral.
UACGGAAGGCAGCAGUGGGGAAUAUUGCACAAUGGGCGCAAGCCUGAUGCAGCCAUGCCGCGUGUAUGAAGAAGGCCUUCGGGUUGUAAAGUACUUUCAGUCGUGAGGAAGGUGUUAAGGUUAAUAACCUUAGCAAUUGACGUUAGCGACAGAAGAAGCACCGGCUAACUCCGUGCCAGCAGCCGCGGUAAUACGGAGGGUGCGAGCGUUAAUCGGAAUUACUGGGCGUAAAGGGCACGCAGGCGGUUAAUUAAGUUGGAUGUGAAAUCCCCGGGCUUAACCUGGGAAUGGCAUUCAAGACUGGUUAGCUAGAGUCUUGUAGAGGGGGUAGAAUUCCGAUGUGUAGCGGUGAAAUGCGUAGAGAUGUGGAGGAAUACCGGUGGCGAAGGCGGCCCCUGGGACAAAGGCUGACGCUCAUGUGCGAAAGCGUGGGGAGCAAACG